Molecule: ribosomal RNA, 497 nt
Filed under: uncultured bacterium
Lineage: Bacteria
Description: partial 16S ribosomal RNA
Rfam family: Bacterial small subunit ribosomal RNA
Source: RNAcentral
GAUGAACGCUGGCGGCGUGCCUAAUACAUGCAAGUCGAGCGAACAGACGAGGAGCUUGCUCCUUUGACGUUAGCGGCGGACGGGUGAGUAACACGUAGGUAACCUACCUAUAAGACUGGGAUAACUUCGGGAAACCGGAGCUAAUACCGGAUAAUAUUUCGAACCGCAUGGUUCGAUAGUGAAAGAUGGCUUUGCUAUCACUUAUAGAUGGACCUGCGCCGUAUUAGCUAGUUGGUAAGGUAACGGCUUACCAAGGCAACGAUACGUAGCCGACCUGAGAGGGUGAUCGGCCACACUGGAACUGAGACACGGUCCAGACUCCUACGGGAGGCAGCAGUAGGGAAUCUUCCGCAAUGGGCGAAAGCCUGACGGAGCAACGCCGCGUGAGUGAUGAAGGUCUUCGGAUCGUAAAACUCCGUUAUUAGGGAAGAACAAACGUGUAAGUAACUGUGCACGUCUUGACGGUACCUAAUCAGAAAGCCACGGCUAACUACGUG